This 253-nucleotide ribosomal RNA is filed under the name uncultured bacterium. RNAcentral describes it as "partial 16S ribosomal RNA". It matches the Rfam family "Bacterial small subunit ribosomal RNA", at positions 524 to 776 of the family's 1533-position model. The record is from RNAcentral.
UACGGAGGAUCCAAGCGUUAUCCGGAUUCAUUGGGUUUAAAGGGUGCGUAGGCGGACUGAUAAGUCAGCGGUGAAAUCUCUCGGCUUAACCGAGAAACUGCCGUUGAUACUGUCAGUCUUGAGUACAGAUGAUGUGGGCGGAAUAUGACAUGUAGUGGUGAAAUACUUAGAUAUGUCAUAGAACACCGAUUGCGAAGGCAGCCCACAAAACUGUCACUGACGCUGAGGCACGAAAGCGUGGGGAUCAAACAGG